This 1251-nucleotide ribosomal RNA is filed under the name Triticum aestivum (bread wheat). RNAcentral describes it as "partial small subunit ribosomal RNA". The record is from RNAcentral. Lineage: Eukaryota; Viridiplantae; Streptophyta; Magnoliopsida; Poales; Poaceae.
AUGGGCCGUCCGAUACCUUUGGAAAAGUACGGGCGGGGCGAUAGAGUCUGGACCCGAAACUGCUUUCCUAAAAAAAAAAUCGACUCUAAACGCCACUCGGGUCCGUGGUCCGGCGCCUCCGCGCCGUGUCGAUCCGGCCGACGAACGGCGGUCCCCUCCCCUCCUGCGCAGCAGCCGGGGCCGCUACUUCCAGCCGGCUUCCUCUGGCGUACAACCCCUACUCCUCUCAGGUCCAGCCCUCCGGCUCCACCCCGCCCUUCUCAUCCGGACCUAGGGUUUGUGCGACCCUGCGAGCUCCGUCCCCGCUCUCCCCGCUCCACCCAGUCGCGGGCGUACCAGCCGCCUCCCCGAGCCGUUCGAGCACAGGCCUCCUCGCAGAGGCACCUGUUGCCGCCCCCGCCGCCGCCAAGCACGAGGCUGUUUCUAGCUAAAUCCAAGGAAUUGGUGCAAUAUCAGGUCAUGGAGGGGAGUAAGAACAUGCAAGAGUCAGACACUGCAUCUGUUGUCAAAGUAUCCAGGGAGCCUGUUAUCAUUAUCAAUGGUGUCCCAGACUUGCCUCCUGAUUUCGCAUCUGGUUCACAACCUGCAGUAAGAGACGCUCAAGGAUCUCGAGUUGAUCAUCGCUUUGGUGAAUGGCUAGAAGGGCGGAAAGUGAGAAAGCAGUUUGGGGACAAGUAUUUUGCAGGGAAAGUUGUCAAGUAUGACAGUGAAAGCAAUUGGUACAGUGUUGUCUAUGAUGAUGGAGACCAGGAAGAUCUUGAAUGGCUUGAACUGGAGGAGAUCCUGCUACCAUUGGACAUAACCAUUCCACUCAGAAAACUUGUUAUGGACAAAUUCAAACAUCAGAAUGCUGUUCCUGACUCCAGACUUAAGGGGGCUAGAUCAUCGCAAGGAACUAAUGGUGCUCGCAACCAGGUGGUGGUCAGAGCAGUAAAUGGCCUACAGUCAAACAACCUGCCACUACCAGGGUUGCUUCAGGCGUCCCCAUCAAAUGCAGAGACUGUCAGGGCAGAAAAACUGAAGAUGCAGACCUCCAAAAGAAAAACUGAGGAGGUAUAUCAGCCUAAAAAAAGGGGCAGGCCUCGAAAGGAUAGAACUAUAUCAGUAUCAGGUGACAUUCAACCUAAAAAAAGAGGCAGACCUCCAAAAGAAAAGAACAUAUCUGGGGAGAGUAGUGUUCAUAAGCGCAAUGCAGAGACUGUCAGGGCAGAAAAACUGAAGAGAGAAAGCUUGCGUGUUCGAGGGGCAUAA